GGUACGCUCUCAAAGAGUCGAGUUGUUUGGGAAUGCAGCUCAAAAUGGGUGGUAAAUUCCAUCUAAAGCUAAAUAUUGGCGAGAAACCGAUAGCGAACAAGUACCGUGAGGGAAAGAUGAAAAGAACUUUGGAAAGAGAGUUAAACAGUACGUGAAAUUGUUGAAAGGGAAACGCUUAAAGUCAGUCGCAUUGAAAGAAAUCACACUUGCUUUGGCUUGUGGCUUUUUCUUAGCAAUGGGUCAGCAUCAGUUUAGAUUGUUGGAAAAGGGUUGGAGGAAUGUGGCAUCUCUGGAUGUGUUAUAGCCUUCAAUUGCAUACAAUGAUUGAGACUGAGGAACUCAGCACUUGUGCUUAGGAUGCUGGCAUAAUGGCUUUAAUCGACCCGUCUUGA
RNAcentral lists this ribosomal RNA (392 nucleotides) under Tricholomopsis sp. RNAcentral describes it as "partial large subunit ribosomal RNA". It matches the Rfam family "Eukaryotic large subunit ribosomal RNA", at positions 248 to 657 of the family's 3401-position model. The record is from RNAcentral. Lineage: Eukaryota; Fungi; Basidiomycota; Agaricomycetes; Agaricales.